GAUGAACGCUGGCGGCGUGCCUAAUACAUGCAAGUCGAGCGAACAGAUAAGGAGCUUGCUCCUUGGCGUUUACGGCCGGCGGGUGGGUAACAACUGGAUAACCCUACUAUAAGACUGGGGUAACUUCGGGAAAACGGGAGCAAAUCCGGGUAACUUAUUUAACCGGCUUGUUCCAUAAUGAAAGGACGCUUUGCUUGUAAUUAUUGAAUGAACCGCGCCGUAUUAGCUAGUUGGUAAGGUAACGGCUUACCAAGGCAACGAUACGUAGCCGACCUGAGAGGGUGAUCGGCCACACUGGAACUGAGACACGGUCCAGACUCCUACGGGAGGCAGCAGUAGGGAAUCUUCCGCAAUGGGCGAAAGCCUGACGGAGCAACGCCGCGUGAGUGAUGAAGGUCUUCGGAUCGUAAAACUCUGUUAUCAGGGAAGAACAAAUGUGUAAGUAACUGUGCACAUCUUGACGGUACCUGAUCAGAAAGCCACGGCUAACUACGUG
RNAcentral lists this ribosomal RNA (496 nucleotides) under uncultured bacterium. RNAcentral's name for it is "partial 16S ribosomal RNA". It matches the Rfam family "Bacterial small subunit ribosomal RNA", at positions 28 to 507 of the family's 1533-position model. The record is from RNAcentral.